Molecule: unclassified non-coding RNA, 170 nt
Filed under: uncultured Trichoderma
Lineage: Eukaryota; Fungi; Ascomycota; Sordariomycetes; Hypocreales; Hypocreaceae
Description: sequence contains ITS2
Source: RNAcentral
CAACCCUCGAGCCCCUCCGGGGGGUCGGCGUUGGGGACCGGGACCCCUCACCGGGUGCCGGCCCUGAAAUGCAGUGGCGGUCUCGCCGCAGCCUCUCCUGCGCAGUAGUUUGCACAACUCGCACCGGGAGCGCGGCGCGUCCACGUCCGUAAAACACCCAACUUCUGAAA